This 23-nucleotide non-coding RNA is filed under the name Gallus gallus (chicken). Lineage: Eukaryota; Metazoa; Chordata; Aves; Galliformes; Phasianidae. The record is from RNAcentral. RNAcentral also lists the same sequence under 2 other names.
CGUACGUAGCAGAGCAGCUCCCU